AUUCCUACGGGAGGCAGCAGUGGGGAAUUUUCCGCAAUGAGCGAAAGCCUGACGGAGCAACGCCGCGUGAGGGACGAAGGCCUCUGGGCUGUAAACCUCUUUUCUCAAGGAAGAAGAUAUGACGGUACUUGAGGAAUAAGCCACGGCUAAUUCCGUGCCAGCAGCCGCGGUAAUACGGGAGUGGCAAGCGUUAUCCGGAAUUAUUGGGCGUAAAGCGUCCGCAGGCGGCUUUUCAAGUCUGCUGUUAAAGCGUGGAGCUUAACUCCAUCAUGGCAGUGGAAACUGAAAGGCUUGAGUAUGGUAGGGGCAGAGGGAAUUCCCGGUGUAGCGGUGAAAUGCGUAGAUAUCGGGAAGAACACCAGUGGCGAAGGCGCUCUGCUGGGCCAUUACUGACGCUCAUGGACGAAAGCCAGGGGAGCGAAAGGGAUUAGAUACCCCUGUAGUCCUGGCCGUAAACGAUGAACACUAGGUGUCGGGGGAAUCGACCCCUUCGGUGUCGUAGCUAACGCGUUAAGUGUUCCGCCUGGGGAGUACGCACGCAAGUGUGAAACUCAAAGGAAUUGACGGAAU
RNAcentral lists this ribosomal RNA (570 nucleotides) under uncultured bacterium. RNAcentral describes it as "bacterial SSU rRNA". It matches the Rfam family "Bacterial small subunit ribosomal RNA", at positions 335 to 919 of the family's 1533-position model. The record is from RNAcentral.